AGGACGAACGCUGGCGGCGUGCCUAACACAUGCAAGUCGAACGGGGGUAGCAAUACCCUAGUGGCGAACGGGUGCGUAACACGUGAAGAACUUGUCCAUCGGCGGGGGAUAGCCGGCCCAACGGCCGGGUAAUACCGCGUACGCUUGUCGAGUGGCAUCACUUGACAAGGAAAGCAGCAAUGCACCGAUGGAGAGCUUCGCGGCCUAUCAGCUUGUUGGCGGGGUAAUGGCCCACCAAGGCAACGACGGGUAGCUGGUCUGAGAGGAUGAUCAGCCACAUUGGGACUGAGACACGGCCCAGACUCCUACGGGAGGCAGCAGUGGGGAAUAUUGCGCAAUGGGCGAAAGCCUGACGCAGCGACGCCGCGUGUGGGAUGACGGCCUUCGGGUUGUAACCACUGUCGCGAGGGACGAAAAAUGACGGUACCUCGAAAGGAAGCACCGGCUAACUCUGUGCCAGCACGCCGCGGUAA
This 473-nucleotide ribosomal RNA is filed under the name uncultured bacterium. RNAcentral's name for it is "SSU rRNA". It matches the Rfam family "Bacterial small subunit ribosomal RNA", at positions 26 to 523 of the family's 1533-position model. The record is from RNAcentral.